This is a long non-coding RNA of Cyprinus carpio (common carp), 1486 nucleotides long. NCBI's taxonomy places the organism in Eukaryota, Metazoa, Chordata, Actinopteri, Cypriniformes, Cyprinidae. The record is from Ensembl.
CACAGAACACAUCCAACAGAGCAAAGGAAAUUGGAGGGAAGCGUGUCGCACAGCUGAUUGGCAGUCGCUGCAUGAUAACUUGCCAUUUAAAUGGUGUCCAGACUCAAAUGCUUUUGGACAGUGGAGCUCAGAUCAGUAUGGCUGGACAGAUGUGGCUAAAGAAGAACCUCCCAAACAUCGAAAUCCAACCACUAGAAUCUCUAUUAGCAGAUAGCCAGCUACACGUCACUGCAGCAAAUGGGACAGCUGUACCCUUUGAUGGGUGGGUUGAGGUUUUAUUAGAGAUCACAAGUGGCAAACAAAACAAAAUCGCCAUCCAAGUGCCCCUUUUGGUGAGUCGAAAAUGCAUGGACUGCCCGUUGCUUGGGUUCAAUGUAAUUGAGGAGAUCAUAAGGGAGAAUAAUGACGGUGCAAAUAACUUGAGCCUAAUUGAUCUUCUGUCUGAAGCUUUGCAGAUGCAAAAAGGUGCCACUGAAACCUUGGUGUCCACAGUGAACUCUAACCUCCUCCAAGAAUGUACUGCCAGCUGUAUAGUAAAGACUGGGAAGUCAGGAGCCACCAUCCCCUGUGGUCAGGUCCUAGAGGUAAAAUGCAGAAUAAGAACAGGGCACAAGGGUGAGACCAUGAUGUUCGAACCAGCGUCAGAAAGUUUCAUCCCCGAAGGGUUGGAGUUAUUUCCUGCUGUUGUAAAUGUGCCUCCUGGUGCCUCAAAGACAGUGAAAAUUCCAGUUCAAAAUUCCACAAACCAUAACAUUUACCUACCUCAGAGACUUGUCUUAGGUAAUAUCGAACCCAUCAGCGAAAUUAGACCCGUUUGCUCUUCCUCCAGCAUUUCACAUCCAGAUCAACAGAUCAAUGGUGCGCUUUUGUGUGCAUCCCAGCUCACGUCAGCGGACGAUGUCUGUAAAAGGGAACAUCAUGAGAGAAGAGUUGGAGAAAAAUGGCACCCACCUGUUGAUCUUGAACACCUCAAUAAACAGGAACAAGAUAUUGUGAGGAAAAUGUUGUUUGAGGAGUCAGAUGUGUUUGCUCAGGAUGAGGGAGACAUCGGGUGUAUUCCUGAUCUGCAGUUGAAAAUCCGUUUAUCAGAUGAUACACCAGUCCAGAGGUGUUAUAAUUCCAUCCCAAAACCCCUUUAUAAGGAGGUGAAAGACUAUGUGCAGAAUCUGUUGAACAGAGGUUGGAUCAAGAAGUCAUCCUCAUCGUAUUCGUCACCAGUGGUAUGUGUUCGGAAAAAAGACAGUAGCUUGCGCUUGUGUGUCGAUUUUCGAGCUCUUAACCGCAAGACCAUCCCUGAUCGACAUCCCCUCCCCAGGAUUCAAGAUCUGUUAGACAGCCUUGGGGGAAAUUCAUGGUUUUCCAUUCUGGAUCAGGGAAGCGCAUACCAUCAGGGAUUUGUGAGUGAGGACUCUAGACAUGUCACUGCCUUUAACACUCCAUGGGGACUAUACGAGUGGGUGCGUAUUCCCUUUGGGUUAACAAACGC